UUCUCGAGCGAGUGGCGAACGGGUGAGUAACGCGUGAGGAACCUGCCUCAAAGAGGGGGGACAACAGUUGGAAACGACUGCUAAUACCGCAUAAGCCCACAGGUCGGCAUCGACCAGAGGGAAAAGGAGCAAUCCGCUUUGAGAUGGCCUCGCGUCCGAUUAGCUAGUUGGUGAGGUAACGGCCCACCAAGGCAACGAUCGGUAGCCGGACUGAGAGGUUGAACGGCCACAUUGGGACUGAGACACGGCCCAGACUCCUACGGGAGGCAGCAGUGGGGAAUAUUGCACAAUGGGGGAAACCCUGAUGCAGCGACGCCGCGUGGAGGAAGAAGGUCUUCGGAUUGUAAACUCCUGUUGUUGAGGAAGACAAUGACGGUACUCAACAAGGAAGUGACGGCUAACUACGUGCCAGCAGCCGCGGUAAAACGUAGGUCACAAGCGUUGUCCGGAAUUACUGGGUGUAAAGGGAGCGCAGGCGGGAAGACAAGUUGGAAGUGAAAUCUAUGGGCUCAACCCAUAAACUGCUUUCAAAACUGUUUUUCUUGAGUAGUGCAGAGGUAGGCGGAAUUCCCGGU
Molecule: ribosomal RNA, 575 nt
Filed under: uncultured Lachnospiraceae bacterium
Lineage: Bacteria; Bacillati; Bacillota; Clostridia; Lachnospirales; Lachnospiraceae
Description: bacterial SSU rRNA
Rfam family: Bacterial small subunit ribosomal RNA
Source: RNAcentral